CUUGCUUAGAUGAGUCGAGUGGCAAACGGGUGAGUAACGCGUAGACAACCUGCCGCAAAGAUGGGGACAACAGUCCGAAAGGACUGCUAAUACCGAAUGUUGUGCAACUCCGCAUGAGGAUGCAUUAAAGAUGGCCUCUACUUGUAAGCUAUCGCUUUGCGAUGGGUCUGCGUCUGAUUAGCUAGUUGGUGGGUAACGGCCUACCAAGGCGACGAUCAGUAGCCGGUCUGAGAGGAUGAACGGCCACAUUGGAACUGAGACACGGUCCAGACUCCUACGGGAGGCAGCAGUGGGGAAUCUUCCGCAAUGGGCGAAAGCCUGACGGAGCAACGCCGCGUGAGUGAAGAAGGUCUUCGGAUCGUAAAGCUCUGUUGUCGGGACGAAUGUACCUUUGUGAAUAAUGAGAGGUAAUGACGGUACCUGACGAGGAAGCCACGGCUAACUACGUGCC
RNAcentral lists this ribosomal RNA (451 nucleotides) under uncultured bacterium. RNAcentral describes it as "bacterial SSU rRNA". It matches the Rfam family "Bacterial small subunit ribosomal RNA", at positions 74 to 509 of the family's 1533-position model. The record is from RNAcentral.